CCUACGGGAGGCAGCAGUGGGGAAUAUUGCACAAUGGGGGAAACCCUGAUGCAGCGACGCCGCGUGAGUGAAGAAGUAUCUCGGUACGUAACGCUCUAUCAGCAGGGAAGCAAAUGACGGUACCUGACUCAGCAGCCCCGGCUAACUACGUGCAAGCAGCCGCGGGAAUACGUAGGGGGUAAGCGUUAUUCGGAUUUACUGGGUGGAAAGGGAGCGUAGACGGCCGCACAAGUCUGGAGUGAAAUCCCGGGGCGUAACCCCGGAACUGCUUGGGAAACUGGGCGGCUGGAGUGCAGGAGGGGUAAGCGGAAUUCCUAGUGUAGCGGUGAAAUGCGUAGAUAUUAGGAGGAACACCGGUAGCGAAGGCGGCUUACUGGACUGUAACUGACGUUGAGGCUCGAAAGCGUGGGGAGCAAACAGGAUUAGAUACCCGAGUAGUC
This 440-nucleotide ribosomal RNA is filed under the name uncultured bacterium. RNAcentral describes it as "partial 16S ribosomal RNA". It matches the Rfam family "Bacterial small subunit ribosomal RNA", at positions 338 to 795 of the family's 1533-position model. The record is from RNAcentral.